Molecule: unclassified non-coding RNA, 224 nt
Filed under: Hevea brasiliensis (rubber tree)
Lineage: Eukaryota; Viridiplantae; Streptophyta; Magnoliopsida; Malpighiales; Euphorbiaceae
Source: RNAcentral
CAGAAGUCCAGAAGAUAAUAAUGCCAUUUCUUGAAUCUAUAGUAUAUCCACCGAAGAGGAACAAAUAUGACAUAAAACAAACAGUAUACAUAAGGAAUAUCUUGCGGCCUUGCGCCCAAGAGGAAGCAAAAUCCCCCAAAACCAAGAACACCAAGAAGAUGAGUUACCUUACUAAGGAAGCUCUGAUGUUCCUCUGCUUGUUUUGCGAUCUUAACUGCCUGUUU